GUCUAUGGCCAUAUCACUGGAACACACUUGAUCUCAUCUGAUCUUGAAAGUUAAGCAGGGUCAGGGCUGGUUAGUACUUGGAUGGGAGAAGAGAAGAGUUCUAGCAGAGUGCAUCCU
Non-coding RNA from Bos taurus (domestic cattle), 117 nucleotides. The record is from Rfam. NCBI's taxonomy places the organism in Eukaryota, Metazoa, Chordata, Mammalia, Artiodactyla, Bovidae.